GAUGAACGCUGGCGGCGUGCCUAAUACAUGCAAGUCGAGCGAACAGACGAGGAGCUUGCUCCUCUGACGUUAGCGGCGGACGGGUGAGUAACACGUGGAUAACCUACCUAUAAGACUGGGAUAACUUCGGGAAACCGGAGCUAAUACCGGAUAAUAUAUUGAACCGCAUGGUUCAAUAGUGAAAGACGGUUUUGCCGUCACUUAUAGAUGGUUCCGCGCCGCAUUAGCUAGUUGGUAAGGUAACGGCUUACCAAGGCAACGAUGCGUAGCCGACCUGAGAGGGUGAUCGGCCACACUGGAACUGAGACACGGUCCAGACUCCUACGGGAGGCAGCAGUAGGGAAUCUUCCGCAAUGGGCGAAAGCCUGACGGAGCAACGCCGCGUGAGUGAUGAAGGUCUUCGGAUCGUAAAACUCUGUUAUUAGGGAAGAACAAAUGUGUAAGUAACUAUGCACGUCUUGACGGUACCUAAUCAGAAAGCCACGGCUAACUACGUG
Molecule: ribosomal RNA, 497 nt
Filed under: uncultured bacterium
Lineage: Bacteria
Description: partial 16S ribosomal RNA
Rfam family: Bacterial small subunit ribosomal RNA
Source: RNAcentral